This is a long non-coding RNA of Motacilla alba alba, 4382 nucleotides long. RefSeq lists it as uncharacterized. The transcript is spliced from 5 exons. The record is from RefSeq and is a predicted model, not a curated record. NCBI's taxonomy places the organism in Eukaryota, Metazoa, Chordata, Aves, Passeriformes, Motacillidae.
CCUCAGCAGAAAAGUUAUCACGGCAGACAAUGUCAACUUUCCGGAGGGGGAGGGCCCUUUGCACGGCUCCGUCCCCGCCUGCAACAGCCGCGCCUCUCUUUCAGUGUCAGCGCUGCAGAUGUGAUGUCCUUCCUCCUCCCAAAUGCUGCUUUGUCAGCCGAAGCUGUCAACGAGCCCUGGUCUCCCUCUCUGAUACUUGCCACCCACACCUGUGUGUCACCUGAGAGGUGAAGGGCUCACAAGACUUCAAAACCUGCUGGUGCUCUGGCCAGUGCCUCGGAGAUGAUGAUGUAGUCCCUAUGUGGGCCGCAGAAAGCACUUCGAGCCGUGCUGGAGUCGUGCUGGGUGGCUCUGAUAGCAGAGCUAAUGGGAGCGAAUGGGAUGCAACGAACUGUUCUAAUGACACCAGCCAGGGAAGAGACAACAAAUCAGGUGCUGGAGAGAGGCUGAGCAUGCAGGACUCACCCUCUGUGAGGCUCCUCUGAUGCUGACAGGAUCACACUGCUGUGACUUGGCUCUGGCCAAGCUAAAAGCAGCACUCAAGUGACUCUGUGACGUUGCUGGGGAUAGAGUGAUGCCCUGAAACUCUUCAGCAUCCCUGGGCCAGAUGCAGAGGUUUUUCCCUGAUGCCAAUGGAGUCACACUGCAGAAGAGCCACUGCUGAUGGGGUCUGUUCCAGCCUGUGGGGUGCCUGUCCUCUCUUCUCUACAAGUGGUGAAACAGAGGCAUGGAGCAGAUCAAUUUAUCUUCUUUGUGCGAGUGUGAGAACACCAAGACACAGAGAUGGGAGUGGUCUUACCCAAGGUCACACUGCACAAAUCAUUGUGGCAAGAGUCACUCCUUAGUUCUGUGAGGAACAGCAGAGGAAAAUGUUGUCCAGCAUCCUGGGUUGGACUGCCACUAUGGCACUGUCUUUCAAAUCCAUCCUGUGAUCACCAAAUACUCUUGCCAGCUCUGACAAGCAGAAGAAACAGAGGCUGGUCCAAACUGACUCCUGGUGCUACAGACGCUGAAAUCCUUGCAAAAGGAGAAACUUGAGAUGUCACUGGCUGAAGAUACCCCAGGUUACUGUGAAGAUAUUACAAAACUGAGGCACAUGCAUAUUGUGGCUGUUUUUCCUGACCUUGGGGUCACAUGCAAGGAAACAAUCGGUGGGAAAGCAAAGAGGAAAAGAACAGUUAUUUCUCUGGGGCCCUGACAGAAGGAAUGAGAAUGUGGGGGCACCUGGGAUGGCCACGGAACAAAAAACCUGAAACAUCUCUUCACCCAUUUGUUCUUAUUUUUCCACUCUGUGGGUCCUGCUCCCCUCUUUCCUCACCCUCCCCCAGCUUGCCUGGUGAUUCAGGAAGAAGAGGCCAAGGAGAGUAAUAUUGUGCUGAAGACAGGACUGGAAGGGCAGUAAUUUAGACUCAGAGGCUUAUAGUAUUAUUGCCUGCAAAGCCAUUCAUGGGAAAUGAUUCCACCCGUCCCCAUUCCGCUCCCCCCCGCCCCAUACCACUCUCCUUGCUCUGCAAUAACAAUAACAGAAAUGCCUUCAGGAGGCUUUUCUACUCAAAAUGCAGGCAAAGGAGCACUUUUCUCCACCACCCCUCUUCUUUCCCUUCUCUUCUCCCUGCACUCGCUUGUCCCCCCUGCCUCUAAGCCUAACUGCUGCUCCCUCCCUUCUCCCCUCCCCCCCCACGGGAUAAAAAAAUAAAAAUAAUAAUAGGGGUAAUAAGAGAGGAGGUAAUGGAACGUUCUCCAACUGGGCACAUGUCAGAAGCCAUUAUAUGUGGUGCAGAUUUGCAUAAUUCAAGAAGCAUCAAAUUAAAUUUGCAUAAUUCCUUUGAUUACACUUGUUAUUAAAUGUAAGUGACAUUGAUUUACAAAAUGGCCCAAUAUAAGGUUAAUAGCAAAUGUCACCUUCCAGCAGGGUGAAUAGGGUGCGUGUGUGGUGGUGGUGGUGACGGAGGAGGGGGAGAGGGGGGCCUGGGGAGGAAGGCGAGCAGACAAUUGAUUUCUGCUCCUCUCUCCUCCUUAAAGGGCUCAGGUCUCCUUUGCAGAGGAGCCCUCGACUCUCGGAGGGCUGCACUGGGCUGUCAUCGAGACACCGUGUCAUCAGGACACCCUGCCGAGUGGCAUUGGUGCCAUGCCUCUGCUGCCUCCUGCUCUGCACCGUGUCACAGCAUGGCCACUGAGCCAGUUCCCAAUGGGAGCUAGGCUGGGUGGAAGGAGCAGGGGAAGCCUAAAAGUGUCUCUCCCAGGCCCAGGCACGCUUGGUGGGCAGGAAAAGCAGCUUGGAUGGCAUCUUUGCAGGAAGAUCUCACUGAGGCAAGUUUUCUAAAAUAGGAUGUGAGCUGGAUGUGGGCUGUGCCCAGCUGGCAGGACACCCUGUGUGUCUGCGGGGACAGCACUGGGAGGGAGGGAGAGCCAUGGUAGGAGCAGUGCCUGAAAUGCCAGCUCUGAUGGCAGAGAUUCCACAGUGAAAACACAUUUGUGAUUACAGCAAGACCUGUAAGUUACAUGAAGAGCUGCUUUCCAUAAAUGAAAGACUCUGUGCCAUACAUACAGAGCUGCUGAUGAUCCAGGCCCAUCACCACUGUCCAUUUUGCUAACAUGGGCCUCAGACCAUCUUGAACACUUGCCUUGUGAGUAGAUUCCAUCUCUGAACGUCUUUUUGCCUCUCUUCAUUCUGUGUUUUUCUCCAGAAAGGGCAUGUGAUUUCAUGCAGGGAAGCUGACUGGUAAGUUGUGUGGGCACCUGAGGACUGUAGCGAUAAAAUAAAGUCAUAAUAUGUGUACCAGAACAGGAUGAAUAUCAGACUUCUAGUCACAAGCAGUUUCAAAGACACACAAACCUAGGCAUAACCUGGUUUUGGUUCAGCAGAAAAUUUUUUUGCAAAUCAAGAGACUGGCUGAAGGGGGAACAGGGACCCACAGCUACCUUUUUGGUUAAACUCUCUCACUCAAGGUGAAAAAGGAUGCUUCUUUUGGUGUCUGAGCUCUGUAAACAUUGUCUAAUAGCAUCCAAACAAAAUUAGAAUUAAAUCUAUCCCUGAGCCAACUGUCAGAAGGGUUUUUCAGAAUGUUUCAAAAGAAGUAGCACUCACUAUUUGUAGCAGGAAGGAUACGAUGAUUGGUAUAAAAUUCCAGGUAGCUGCCAUUUACAGCUGAUUUUUGAACUCUCUUAAGCCUUCUGAAGCUCUAGUAGUCCAUGCCCAGGAUGAAAUCAGUGCACCCAUCUUUCAGAUCCCAACAUAAUCACAUGAAGCCAGGUUAAUAAUCUAGAUUAUUAUCUACUGAAUGAGAGACAUGAAAUGUAUUUUACAGGCCUUUGGGCACUCUAAAAGGAAGCUGCAGUAUGAACAUUUCUAAUGCCCUACAUAGUGUCCCACAUCAGUUGAAGAGCAUUGCUUUUCUGCAUCCCAAAUACCCAAUGCUUGCUCCACAGCAGAAUUUAUUAUAACCCUCCUGAACCCAGAUUCUCAAAGGUGCCCAGUAGUGCCAAACUUCAGACAGUUGAAGAAAAUAUCUUUUUGAGGCUAAGCACAUUUAUAGUGGCUAAUGGCUCAGGCCUGGGUUCCAUUCCUGUUGUGAGGAAAGAAGAUGAAGUGUCUGGGUUUGGUGGACAGACUUAAAAGGGUGAAUGGAAUACGCAGGACCACUGUGCACACCCCAGAUUUCUUGAGAGCAUGCAGGAGGUGUCUUUGUGUAGUGUCAAGGGAUUGGUCUUUAUUUUGAAUAUUUGUGUCUUCUGAGCAGGUGUUUCCUUCCCUCUGCAAAGCAGCCCUCCCCUGCGGCCUGGUGACAGGCCCCUUAAUGCAGAAGACGCAGGUUGUAUUCCCAGCCCUGUCAAUCCCGUGUUCUCUACUGCAUCCCCUCCACACCCGGGCACAUCUUGGCUGGUGAGCCUGCAAACUCUUUGGAGUUCUGCUUCAGAUCCCUCUCUGUGCUCUCACAGACUGCUCGACACAUUGGUUCCCAAGUGUGCGUCUCUUGCUUCCCUUCUGAGGCUGGCAGGGGUGUUUGAGCAGGUCCUGACCCAGACCCUGUCAGGCUGCAUCAACCCUUAAUGCAUCACGUGAAAGCCGGCUGCUGGCAGCACAGGUUUGCAGGGCAUUGCAGAGGGGGUUCCUCUGCAAGAGCUCUGUCUUGAAACUCCGUGUCAAUCACAGAUGGUCCCUGGCCAUCAUGCCCACUCUGACAUGGGGAUGCUGACUUGAAUGAGGAGAGUGAGAGCCUUGUUUUCACCAUGGAUUGGUGAAAUUUGCUGCCCAGGUUUGGAGGUACGAGGGAUCCCAGCCCAGACGUGGCUGGUGCUCACGUGUGCACUUGAAUCCUGAGCUAUUUUCAUGCCAGCAUAAGCCCUAACUCUCUCAGGUCAAAGUUGGCAUGGGCAGAGGC